RNAcentral lists this ribosomal RNA (447 nucleotides) under uncultured bacterium. RNAcentral describes it as "partial 16S ribosomal RNA". It matches the Rfam family "Bacterial small subunit ribosomal RNA", at positions 355 to 794 of the family's 1533-position model. The record is from RNAcentral.
UAGGGAAUCUUCGGCAAUGGGGGCAACCCUGACCGAGCAACGCCGCGUGAGUGAAGAAGGUUUUCGGAUCGUAAAGCUCUGUUGUAAGUCAAGAACGGGUGUGAGAGUGGAAAGUUCACACUGUGACGGUAGCUUACCAGAAAGGGACGGCUAACUACGUGCCAGCAGCCGCGGUAAUACGUAGGUCCCGAGCGUUGUCCGGAUUUAUUGGGCGUAAAGCGAGCGCAGGCGGUUUGAUAAGUCUGAAGUUAAAGGCUGUGGCUCAACCAUAGUUCGCUUUGGAAACUGUCAAACUUGAGUGCAGAAGGGGAGAGUGGAAUUCCAUGUGUAGCGGUGAAAUGCGUAGAUAUAUGGAGGAACACCGGUGGCGAAAGCGGCUCUCUGGUCUGUAACUGACGCUGAGGCUCGAAAGCGUGGGGAGCGAACAGGAUUAGAUACCCUGGUAGU